Molecule: ribosomal RNA, 433 nt
Filed under: uncultured bacterium
Lineage: Bacteria
Description: partial 16S ribosomal RNA
Rfam family: Bacterial small subunit ribosomal RNA
Source: RNAcentral
AACGAACGCUGGCGGCAUGCCUAACACAUGCAAGUCGAACGAGACCUUCGGGUCUAGUGGCGCACGGGUGCGUAACGCGUGGGAACCUGCCCUUAGGUUCGGAAUAACUCCCCGAAAGGGGUGCUAAUACCGGAUAAUGUCUUCGGACCAAAGAUUUAUCGCCUUUGGAUGGGCCCGCGUUGGAUUAGCUAGUUGGUAGGGUAAAAGCCUACCAAGGCGACGAUCCAUAGCUGGUCUGAGAGGAUGAUCAGCCACACUGGGACUGAGACACGGCCCAGACUCCUACGGGAGGCAGCAGUGGGGACUAUUGGACGAUGGGCGAAAGCCUGAUCCAGCAAUGCCGCGUGAGUGAUGAAGGCCUUAGGGUUGUAAAGCUCUUUUACCCGGGAUGAUAAUGACAGUACCGGGAGAAUAAGCUCCGGCUAACUCCGUG